GAGUUUGAUCUUGGCUCUGGACGAACGCUGGCGGCGUGCCUAAUACAUGCAAGUCGAGCGAGCAAUCUUAACGGAAUACUUCGGUAGGAAGUUAAGAGGGCGAGCGGCGGAUGGGUGAGUAACACGUGGGCAACCUGCCCUAUAGCUUGGGAUACCACUUGGAAACAGGUGCUAAUACCAAAUAAGCAGCACGAGCGCAUGCUCAAGCUGUAAAAGGCGGCUUUAAAGCUGUCACUAAAGGAUGGGCCCGCGGUGCAUUAGCUAGUUGGCAAGGUAACGGCCUACCAAGGCGAUGAUGCAUGGCCGAGUGGAGAGACUGACCGGCCACAUUGGGACUGAGACACGGCCCAAACUCAUACGGGAGGCAGCAGUAGGGAAUCUUCCACAAUGGACGCAAGUCUGAUGGAGCAACGCCGCGUGAGUGAAGAAGGUUUUCGGAUCGUAAAGCUCUGUUGUUGGUGAAGAAGGACAGGGAAAGCAACUGAUUCUUGUUUGACGGUAAUCAACCAGAAAGUCACGGCUAACUACGUGCCAGCAGCCGCAGUAACAC
RNAcentral lists this ribosomal RNA (550 nucleotides) under uncultured Lactobacillus sp. RNAcentral's name for it is "bacterial SSU rRNA". It matches the Rfam family "Bacterial small subunit ribosomal RNA", at positions 9 to 526 of the family's 1533-position model. The record is from RNAcentral. Lineage: Bacteria; Bacillati; Bacillota; Bacilli; Lactobacillales; Lactobacillaceae.